RNAcentral lists this ribosomal RNA (517 nucleotides) under Enterobacter sp. p9_B11. RNAcentral's name for it is "bacterial SSU rRNA". It matches the Rfam family "Bacterial small subunit ribosomal RNA", at positions 595 to 1111 of the family's 1533-position model. Lineage: Bacteria; Pseudomonadati; Pseudomonadota; Gammaproteobacteria; Enterobacterales; Enterobacteriaceae. The record is from RNAcentral.
UGAAAUCCCCGGGCUUAACCUGGGAACUGCAUUCGAAACUGGCAGGCUAGAGUCUUGUAGAGGGGGGUAGAAUUCCAUGUGUAGCGGUGAAAUGCGUAGAGAUCUGGAGGAAUACCGGUGGCGAAGGCGACCCCCUGGACUGAGACUGACGCUCAGGUGCGAAAGCGUGGGGAGCAAACAGGAUUAGAUACCCUGGUAGUCCACGCCGUAAACGAUGUCUACUUGGAGGUUGAGCCCUUGAGGCCUGGCUUCCGGAGCUAACGCGUUAAGUCGACCGCCUGGGGAGUACCGCCGCAAGGUUAAAACUCCAAUGAAUUGACGGGGGCCCGCACAAGCGGUGGAACAUGUGGUUUAAUUCCAAGCAACGCGAAAAACCUUACCUACUCUUGACAUCCAGAGAACUUUCCAGAGAUGCAUUGGUGCCUUCCGGAACUCUGACACAGGUGCUGCAUGGCUGUCGUCAGCUCGUGUUGUGAAAUGUUGGGUUAAGUCCCGCAACGAGCGCAACCCUUAUCCU